UACGUAGGGUGCGAGCGUUAAUCGGAAUUACUGGGCGUAAAGCGUGCGCAGGCGGCUUUGCAAGACAGAUGUGAAAUCCCCGGGCUCAACCUGGGAACUGCAUUUGUGACUGCAAGGCUAGAGUACGGCAGAGGGGGAUGGAAUUCCGCGUGUAGCAGUGAAAUGCGGAGAUAUGCGGAGGAACACCAAUGGCGAAGGCAAUCCCCCGGGCCUGUACUGA
RNAcentral lists this ribosomal RNA (220 nucleotides) under uncultured bacterium. Its description in RNAcentral is "partial 16S ribosomal RNA". It matches the Rfam family "Bacterial small subunit ribosomal RNA", at positions 524 to 743 of the family's 1533-position model. The record is from RNAcentral.